This 472-nucleotide ribosomal RNA is filed under the name uncultured soil bacterium. Its description in RNAcentral is "bacterial SSU rRNA". It matches the Rfam family "Bacterial small subunit ribosomal RNA", at positions 26 to 516 of the family's 1533-position model. The record is from RNAcentral.
AGGACGAACGCUGGCGGCGUGCUUAACACAUGCAAGUCGAGCGGUAAGGCCUUUCGGGGUACACGAGCGGCGAACGGGUGAGUAACACGUGGGUGAUCUGCCCUGCACUUCGGGAUAAGCCUGGGAAACUGGGUCUAAUACCGGAUAUGACCUCCUAUCGCAUGGUGGGUGGUGGAAAGAUUUAUCGGUGCAGGAUGGGCCCGCGGCCUAUCAGCUUGUUGGUGGGGUAAUGGCCUACCAAGGCGACGACGGGUAGCCGACCUGAGAGGGUGACCGGCCACACUGGGACUGAGACACGGCCCAGACUCCUACGGGAGGCAGCAGUGGGGAAUAUUGCACAAUGGGCGAAAGCCUGAUGCAGCGACGCCGCGUGAGGGAUGACGGCCUUCGGGUUGUAAACCUCUUUCAGCAGGACGAAGCGCAAGUGACGGUACCUGCAGAAGAAGCACCGGCUAACUACGUGCCAGCAGCC